UGGAACAGGGUAAAAGGAGGAGAACGAAUUACAGAAACAAUUAGUUUACGAACGUUGUGAGUAUCUUUAACUUGAAAUACAUGAAUAAGUGAAUAAGGCAUUGUAUAUUACUAUUAAAUACUCAUAAAUCGAUUAAGCACAAACCCAUCUGGGUUACAUAAUAAAAACGACGGAAAGUAAUAAACUACUAGUACAGUAUAAGAAGAAAACAACGUAACAAGUACAACACAAACACUUAACUGAAACAAAGACAAACACCAACAUUCAUAAACGGACUAUUUGAUAACAUCUACCACCUUCCAUACUUGGUACAGGACAUGUUAAGAAUAAACGGUGGGUUUAUUAAACCUGGUUUUAAUGCUAGACAAACCUCCAGCGUGUACAGAAAUGUUAAAAAUACCACAAAAAUGACAACAUCACUUUCAUUUCUUUCUUAUAUUUUAUGUAUUUCUCUGUCCUGAAUGUUCUUGCGUUUAUUUGAAAGUUGUAUACCUGUAACGUGACAUAACUAUCCGAAGUGAUCAAUUGGUCAUUUUCAAGCUAGACUCUGAGACAACUUACUGUACCAGGAAACAGCAUCGAUAACUGCCAUACAAUAAGACAAGGUAAAGCAGACUUUUCUUAUGAGUAGUAUUUGGAUGCCUUCCAGCAAGAUAAUGCGAAGUUUUGUUCAAUGUAUUUUCAAAUAUUUGGUGAACACUUUCUUAUGUCAGUCAUUUUUCUUACUUAGAUCACCUGAUGGUAAACGUCACAGCAGAGAGGUCUAUGUUCGUCCAUAAGUUCUUUAUAUGAAUGAUAGAAGGACGCAAUAAUACAAUGGAACAAGAAAACAAAGAGUCUGGACAUAGAAAGAUGGAGCAUCUUCGGGUGAAAUGCUACUGUAAUUAAUCAUAUGCAUGUUCUUCAACGAAAAAUGCUUUCAGGUACCGUUGCAAUAAAACUUUAAACAUUGCCAUAUGCACAUUGUUAUUAUCAUGAAUGUGAAAUAUUAGUAUGCUUUUACAUUUCUACAAAUGAUAGUGAGGGUAAACAUGGUAAAUAUUGGAUGCUAAUAUGUAUGCUAUACAUGUAAUGUAUGAUAAUAUGUAUGUUUGCUAUGCAUGUAAUGUAUGUUACAAUGUAUGUGUGCUAUGCAUGUAAUGUAUGUUACAAUGUAUGUGUGCUAUGCAUGUAAUGUAUGUUACAAUGUACAUGUAUGUGUGCUAUGUAUGUUAUGUAUGUUACAAUGUAUGUGAGCUAUGCAUGUAAUGUAUGUUACAAUGUAUGUGUGCUAUGUAU
This 1278-nucleotide long non-coding RNA is filed under the name Mytilus galloprovincialis (Mediterranean mussel). Lineage: Eukaryota; Metazoa; Mollusca; Bivalvia; Mytilida; Mytilidae. The record is from RNAcentral.